AGGGCUGUGGCUUAGCGGUAGAGCGCUCGCCUUGCACGUUGAGAGGCCCUGGGUUCAAUCCUCAGCACCACAU
This 73-nucleotide transfer RNA is filed under the name Ictidomys tridecemlineatus (thirteen-lined ground squirrel). RNAcentral describes it as "Spermophilus tridecemlineatus (thirteen-lined ground squirrel) tRNA". It matches the Rfam family "tRNA". Rfam says of the family: Transfer RNA (tRNA) molecules are approximately 80 nucleotides in length. Their secondary structure includes four short double-helical elements and three loops (D, anti-codon, and T loops). Further hydrogen bonds mediate the characteristic L-shaped molecular structure. tRNAs have two regions of fundamental functional importance: the anti-codon, which is responsible for specific mRNA codon recognition, and the 3' end, to which the tRNAs corresponding amino acid is attached (by aminoacyl-tRNA synthetases). tRNAs cope with the degeneracy of the genetic code in two manners: having more than one tRNA (with a specific anti-codon) for a particular amino acid; and 'wobble' base-pairing, i.e. permitting non-standard base-pairing at the 3rd anti-codon position. The record is from Rfam by way of RNAcentral. RNAcentral also lists the same sequence under 1 other name. Lineage: Eukaryota; Metazoa; Chordata; Mammalia; Rodentia; Sciuridae.